CAGAGGGUGCAAGCGUUGUUCGGAAUUACUGGGCGUAAAGCGCGCGCAGGCGGAUCCUGCAAGUCAGAAGUGAAAUCUCAUUGCUCAACGAUGAGGCUGCUUUUGAUACUGCGAAUCUGGAGACCGGUAGAGGCUGGUAGAAUUGCAGGUGUAGCGGUGGAAUGCGUAGAGAUCUGCAAGAAUACCCGUGGCGAAGGCGGCCAGCUGGGCCGGUUCUGACGCUGAGGCGCGAAAGCGUGGGGAGCAAACAGGAUUAGAUACCCUGGUAGUCCACGCCGUAAACGAUGGGCACUAGGUGCUGGGGGGAGCGACCCCGUCAGUGCCGUAGCAAACGCGAUAAGUGCCCCGCCUGGGGAGUACGGCCGCAAGGCUG
Molecule: ribosomal RNA, 373 nt
Filed under: uncultured organism
Description: bacterial SSU rRNA
Rfam family: Bacterial small subunit ribosomal RNA
Source: RNAcentral